Molecule: ribosomal RNA, 585 nt
Filed under: Trichoderma sp.
Lineage: Eukaryota; Fungi; Ascomycota; Sordariomycetes; Hypocreales; Hypocreaceae
Description: eukaryotic LSU rRNA
Rfam family: 5.8S ribosomal RNA (bases 220-373)
Source: RNAcentral
AGCGGAGGGAUCAUUACCGAGUUUACAACUCCCAAACCCAAUGUGAACGUUACCAAACUGUUGCCUCGGCGGGAUCUCUGCCCCGGGUGCGUCGCAGCCCCGGACCAAGGCGCCCGCCGGAGGACCAACCAAAACUCUUAUUGUAUACCCCCUCGCGGGUUUUUUUUUAUAAUCUGAGCCUUCUCGGCGCCUCUCGUAGGCGUUUCGAAAAUGAAUCAAAACUUUCAACAACGGAUCUCUUGGUUCUGGCAUCGAUGAAGAACGCAGCGAAAUGCGAUAAGUAAUGUGAAUUGCAGAAUUCAGUGAAUCAUCGAAUCUUUGAACGCACAUUGCGCCCGCCAGUAUUCUGGCGGGCAUGCCUGUCCGAGCGUCAUUUCAACCCUCGAACCCCUCCGGGGGGUCGGCGUUGGGGAUCGGCCCUCCCUUAGCGGGGUGGCCGUCUCCGAAAUACAGUGGCGGUCUCGCCGCAGCCUCUCCUGCGCAGUAGUUUGCACACUCGCAUCGGGAGCGCGGCGCGUCCACAGCCGUUAAACACCCAACUUCUGAAAUGUUGACCUCGGAUCAGGUAGGAAUACCCGCUGAACU